This 549-nucleotide ribosomal RNA is filed under the name Brucella pseudogrignonensis. RNAcentral describes it as "bacterial SSU rRNA". It matches the Rfam family "Bacterial small subunit ribosomal RNA", at positions 118 to 926 of the family's 1533-position model. The record is from RNAcentral. Lineage: Bacteria; Pseudomonadati; Pseudomonadota; Alphaproteobacteria; Hyphomicrobiales; Brucellaceae.
UGGGAAUCUACCUUUUGCUACGGAAUAACUCAGGGAAACUUGUGCUAAUACCGUAUGUGCCCUUCGGGGGAAAGAUUUAUCGGCAAAGGAUGAGCCCGCGUUGGAUUAGCUAGUUGGUGGGGUAAAGGCCCACCAAGGCGACGAUCCAUAGCUGGUCUGAGAGGACGGGAGGCAGCAGUGGGGAAUAUUGGACAAUGGGCGCAAGCCUGAUCCAGCCAUGCCGCGUGAGUGAUGAAGGCCCUAGGGUUGUAAAGCUCUUUCACCGGUGAAGAUAAUGACGGUAACCGGAGAAGAAGCCCCGGCUAACUUCGUGCCAGCAGCCGCGGUAAUACGAAGGGGGCUAGCGUUGUUCGGAUUUACUGGGCGUAAAGCGCACGUUUUUAAGUCAGGGGUGAAAUCCCAGAGCUCAACUCUGGAACUGCCUUUGAUACUGGAAGUCUUGAGUAUGGUAGAGGUGAGUGGAAUUCCGAGUGUAGAGGUGAAAUUCGUUUCCGCCUGGGGAGUACGGUCGCAAGAUUAAAACUCAAAGGAAUUGACGGGGGCCCGCAC